This 774-nucleotide ribosomal RNA is filed under the name uncultured bacterium. Its description in RNAcentral is "bacterial SSU rRNA". It matches the Rfam family "Bacterial small subunit ribosomal RNA", at positions 72 to 888 of the family's 1533-position model. The record is from RNAcentral.
CACCAGCAAUGGUGAGUGGCGAAAGGGUCAGUAACGCGAUCGAACGUGCCCCGAGGUUUGGGAUAGGCAUGGGAAACUGUGCGUAAUACCAGAUGAUCUCUACGGAGCAAAGGUUUACCGCCUUGGGAUCGGCGAUCGUCCUAUCAGGUAGUUGGCGGGGUAGCGGCCCACCAAGCCGAAGACGGGUAGCGGGUGUGAGAGCACGGCCCGCGACAUCGGAACUGAGACACUGUCCGGACUCCUACGGGAGGCUGCAGUAACGAAUCUUCCGCAAUGGGCGCAAGCCUGACGGAGCAAUGCCGCGUGUGGGAUGAAGCGUCUACGACGUGUAAACCACUGUCAGGGGGCGGAACCAAUGAUUGCCCCCAGAGGAAGUGGCGACUAACUCUGUGCCAGCAGUCGCGGUAAUACAGAGGCCACGAGCGUUAGUCGGAAUCACUGGGCUUAAAGGGUGCGUAGGCGGGCUUGUAAGCGCUCUGUGAAAGCCCCCGGCUCAACCGGGGAACAGCAGGGCGAACUACAAGUCUCGAGGCAAGUAGGGGCGGGCAGAACAGUAGGUGGAGCGGUGAAAUGCGUAGAUAUCUACUGGAAUGCCGAUGGUGAAGACGGCCCGCUGGGCUUGACCUGACGCUGAGGCACGAAAGCGUGGGGAUCAAACAGGAUUAGAUACCCUGGUAGUCCACGCCGUAAACGAUGCGCACUAGACCGGUGCGGUUUUGACGCCGUAUCGGUCGUAGUAAAAACGAUAAGUGCGCCGCCUGGGGAGUACGGUCG